RNAcentral lists this long non-coding RNA (695 nucleotides) under Brassica napus (rape). Its description in RNAcentral is "long non-coding RNA (BNAP_LNC005115)". Lineage: Eukaryota; Viridiplantae; Streptophyta; Magnoliopsida; Brassicales; Brassicaceae. The record is from RNAcentral.
ACGAAGCUAAUGAUGUAACUGAUGAAGACGUGAACCAACUUUUCAUGAUAUCCAAGCCACUUUGUCAAGGCUGCCGUGUCAACACUCGUGACAACCCCAACUGUUUCUGCGGUCUUGUUCCUCCGCCUAACGGAAGCCGUAAGUCUGGUCUCUGGCAGAAGACUUCCGAGAUCAUCCAGGCUCUUGGUCCUGAUCUCUCCUCCGAGCUUCGUGAUUCUGACUCUACGCCGGCUGGUUUAACCAAUCUGGGAGCUACUUGCUAUGCUAAUAGUAUACUCCAGUGUUUGUACAUGAACACUGCGUUCCGGGAAGGAGUUUUCUCUGUCGAAGUUGAUGUCUUGAAGCAGUAUCCUGUCUUGGAUCAGAUUGCGAGGCUUUUCGCCCAGCUGUAUGCUAGCAAAAAGUCUUUUGUCGAUUCUGAUGCUUUUGUGAAGACGCUCGAGUUGGAUAAUGGGAUUCCCCCAACUGUUUCUGCGGUCUUGUUCCUCCGCCUAACGGAAGCCGUAAGUCUGGUCUCUGGCAGAAGACUUCCGAGAUCAUACAAGCUCUUGGUCCUGAUCUCUCCUCGGAGCUUCGUGAUUCUGACUCUACGCCGGCUGGUUUAACCAAUCUCGGAGCUACUUGCUAUGCUAAUAGUAUACUCCAGUGUUUGUACAUGAACACUGCGUUCCGUGAAGGAGUUUUCUCUGUCGAGG